RNAcentral lists this ribosomal RNA (505 nucleotides) under uncultured bacterium. Its description in RNAcentral is "partial 16S ribosomal RNA". It matches the Rfam family "Bacterial small subunit ribosomal RNA", at positions 899 to 1397 of the family's 1533-position model. The record is from RNAcentral.
ACUCAAAGGAAUAGACGGGGGCCCGCACAAGCGGCGGAGCGCGUUGCUUAAUUCGAUGCGAAGCGAAGAACCUUACCCAGGCUUGACAUGCGGGAAGUAGGCGCGUGAAAGCGUGUCCGAACCGUAAAGUCGGUUACCCGUGCAGGUGUUGCAUGGCUGUCGUCAGCUCGUGCCGUGAGGUGUUGGCUUAAGUGCCGCAACGAGCGCAACCCCCGUCACAUGUUGCCAGCGGGUAAAGCCGGGCACUCAUGUGAGACUGCCGGGGAAACCCCGGAGGAAGGAGGGGAUGACGUCAAGUCAGCAUGGCCCUUACGCCUGGGGCUGCAAACGCGCUACAAUGCGCACCACAACGGGCUGCGAGCCCGCAAGGGGGAGCGAAUCCCGAAAAAGUGCGCCCAGUUCGGAUCGGGGUCUGCAACUCGACCCCGUGAAGUUGGAGUCGCUAGUAAUGGCAGAUCAGCACGCUGCCGUGAAUGCGUUCCCGGGCCUUGCACACACCGCCCGU